GUUUGGCUAGCUCAGUUGGUAGAUCAUGAGACUCUUAAUUUCAGGGUCAUGGGUUCAAGCCUCAUGUCGGGCG
Molecule: transfer RNA, 73 nt
Filed under: Clytia hemisphaerica
Lineage: Eukaryota; Metazoa; Cnidaria; Hydrozoa; Leptothecata; Clytiidae
Description: tRNA-Lys for anticodon CUU
Rfam family: tRNA
About the family: Transfer RNA (tRNA) molecules are approximately 80 nucleotides in length. Their secondary structure includes four short double-helical elements and three loops (D, anti-codon, and T loops).
Source: Rfam by way of RNAcentral